CUGGCAGGCAGUCUAAUCUCAGCUUGGCAUCACUUUCAAAGCUGCAUACCAACGUCAGCGCUCGAUAAAAUAAAUAGACAAAUAAAUUUUUCAUUUGGCCAAAGGCUGCGAUGCGAAGACUUCGGAGCAGGCGCCCAGAGACGGUGUCACGGUCAGAAAACGACAUGUACCCAAUACAGGAGAACUGUUUGUCCCCUUCAGGUCCAAAUCAGCUACCCGUGAGUGUUCCCGUGCUGCUGUGAGGCUGCAGCGCCAGCACAACUCCACGUUCCCUUCAGGUCAGGAGGUAAACAAAACUCAUCAAAGACAGCAUGGUCUCGCCUCUUAUCCAGCCAAUGUUUGACCAGCGAUGAUCGGUGGGAUUUUAAGUGGGGUUUCCUGGACCACAACCUGGAAAAUUCAUCGGACCCUCUCCUUCUCCAUCACCCAGUCUCCUCCGAGGAAACUCAGCCCGUCCUCCGGUCGUCCUCGAAGCUGGGGCCUCGGGUCGAGGAGCGACUGGAAGAAGGAGCAGGCCAGAGGUGUGAAACAUGCAAACUGG
Molecule: long non-coding RNA, 541 nt
Organism: Scatophagus argus
Lineage: Eukaryota; Metazoa; Chordata; Actinopteri; Scatophagidae
Exons: 3
Source: RefSeq, a predicted model, not a curated record